CCUACGGGGGGCAGCAGUGGGGAAUAUUGGACAAUGGGCGCAAGCCUGAUCCAGCCAUGCCGCGUGAGUGAUGAAGGCCUUAGGGUUGUAAAGCUCUUUUGCCCGGGAAGAUAAUGACGGUACCGGGAGAAUAAGCCCCGGCUAACUUCGUGCCAGCAGCCGCGGUAAUACGAAGGGGGCUAGCGUUGCUCGGAAUCACUGGGCGUAAAGCGCACGUAGGCGGAUCGUUAAGUCAGGGGUGAAAUCCUGGAGCUCAACUCCAGAACUGCCCUUGAUACUGGCGACCUUGAGUUCGAGAGAGGUGAGUGGAACUGCGAGUGUAGAGGUGAAAUUCGUAGAUAUUCGCAAGAACACCAGUGGCGAAGGCGGCUCACUGGCUCGAUACUGACGCUGAGGUGCGAAAGCGUGGGGAGCAAACAGGAUUAGAUACCCUAGUAGUC
Molecule: ribosomal RNA, 440 nt
Filed under: uncultured bacterium
Lineage: Bacteria
Description: bacterial SSU rRNA
Rfam family: Bacterial small subunit ribosomal RNA
Source: RNAcentral